RNAcentral lists this unclassified non-coding RNA (211 nucleotides) under plant metagenome. RNAcentral describes it as "partial contains small subunit ribosomal RNA, internal transcribed spacer 1, and 5.8S ribosomal RNA". The record is from RNAcentral.
UUUCCGUAGGUGAACCUGCGGAAGGAUCAUUCAUAAUAAAGUGUUUUAUGGCACUUUUUAAAAAUCCAUAUCCACCUUGUGUGCAACGGUAGAUCUCGUCAAUCUUGGCGAGAUUUUUAUACAUCAACUCAUUCUUUAACUAAUUUGUCUGAAAAAUAUUAUGAAUACUUAAUUCAAAAUACAACUUUCAACAACGGAUCUCUUGGCUCUC